This 87-nucleotide transfer RNA is filed under the name Clostridia bacterium. RNAcentral's name for it is "tRNA-Ser". It matches the Rfam family "tRNA". From Rfam's summary of the family: Transfer RNA (tRNA) molecules are approximately 80 nucleotides in length. Their secondary structure includes four short double-helical elements and three loops (D, anti-codon, and T loops). Further hydrogen bonds mediate the characteristic L-shaped molecular structure. tRNAs have two regions of fundamental functional importance: the anti-codon, which is responsible for specific mRNA codon recognition, and the 3' end, to which the tRNAs corresponding amino acid is attached (by aminoacyl-tRNA synthetases). tRNAs cope with the degeneracy of the genetic code in two manners: having more than one tRNA (with a specific anti-codon) for a particular amino acid; and 'wobble' base-pairing, i.e. permitting non-standard base-pairing at the 3rd anti-codon position. Lineage: Bacteria; Bacillati; Bacillota; Clostridia. The record is from RNAcentral.
GGAGAGGUAUCGAAGCGGUCAUAACGAGGCGGUCUUGAAAACCGUUUGGCGCAAGCCACGUGGGUUCGAAUCCCACCCUCUCCGCCA